RNAcentral lists this ribosomal RNA (253 nucleotides) under uncultured bacterium. Its description in RNAcentral is "partial 16S ribosomal RNA". It matches the Rfam family "Bacterial small subunit ribosomal RNA", at positions 524 to 776 of the family's 1533-position model. The record is from RNAcentral.
UACGGGGGGGGCAAGCGUUGUUCGGAAUUACUGGGCGUAAAGGGCUCGUAGGCGGCCAACUAAGUCAGACGUGAAAUCCCUCGGCUUAACCGGGGAACUGCGUCUGAUACUGGAUGGCUUGAAUCCGGGAGAGGGAUGCGGAAUUCCAGGUGUAGCGGUGAAAUGCGCAGAUAUCAGGAGGAACACCAAUUGCGAAGGCAGCUCGCUGGGACGUUACUGACGCUGAGGAGCGAAAGUGUGGGGAGCGAACAGG